RNAcentral lists this unclassified non-coding RNA (387 nucleotides) under soil metagenome. RNAcentral's name for it is "partial contains 5.8S ribosomal RNA, internal transcribed spacer 2, and large subunit ribosomal RNA". The stretch from base 1 to 122 matches the Rfam family "5.8S ribosomal RNA", at positions 35 to 154 of the family's 154-position model. The record is from RNAcentral.
GAUGAAGAACGCAGCGAAAUGCGAUAAGUAAUGUGAAUUGCAGAAUUCAGUGAAUCAUCGAAUCUUUGAACGCACCUUGCACCCUUUGGACUGCUCCAAAGGGUAUGCUCGUUUGAGUGUCAUUGUACUCUCACACUCUCUGAUCCUUUGGAUUUGGGGAGCAGUGGACUUGGGUGCUUGCUGCUUCCUUGUGGCUCACCUGAAAUGCAUCAGUGCAUCUCUCGAUUGAACAUAGUACGGCGUGAUAAGUGUCUUCGCCGGCACCUCAUAUGAGGGUGGCCGAUCGGGAGCUCUGUGCUUUCAAACCGUCUUCGGACAACGCUGACAACUUGACCUCAAAUCGAGUAGGACUACCCGCUGAACUUAAGCAUAUCAAUAAGCGGAGGA